GAGUAUCUUAUGUCAAGAAGCAGCUCCAUGUCUUGCUCAAGCAGAUCAUAGUUGUGGCUGCAUUAUACUGGUCCUCUAUGAAGAAUGCACUGCAGGGCCAACGCGUCGUAUCAGUGACGGUUGACACGCUGCAGGCGCACUAUGAUGGAAUCGACAAGUCGGCAGCAAAGACCAUAUCUGAUGCAACGCGCUUUCUCAAGAAUCAGGAGUCAUGGAGUUUCUGGAUUUGCCUCAAUUCCCGUUGUGAUGGCAAGAAGUUCUCGGACACUAGUUCGCUCUGGCAACACACGUGCAGCAAGCACCGAGAUGAGCUCUGGGGAAGCUGCAGUCACUUAUAGAUCCAGAAUAUUAUGAGAAUUCAUCACAGGAUGAUCACUCGUUGGUUGGGAUAACUCUCAGCCGCCAGUCUGACACCUUCCUUUUACCAAGGGUGCAGGAUAUGUUUGAAUCCUUGCUGCUUUCACCAUCUGUUGGAAUACAGGCAGAACCCUUCGCUGAAAUGCGACAAAGGAAAUGCAGAGAAGGAUCUGAGAUCCUUGGGAGCAUCAGGGAGAAGCUGAGGAUGUUGCCUAAAGAUACACUUAGCACUGAGUUUCAGGAGUGCUGUUCUGGAAUAGACAAAUUGUGGCUAAAGUUUCUUCAAGUUACUGUUGUGGAUUAUCGUGAAAUCAUUCUUCCCCUUGCGAGAUCAUACCAAUGGAUAGAAUUGAAGAAACGGAUUCCUUUUUAUCUAAAUCAUCCUGGUACUAGGCGUAUUGGAUUUGCUGGUGCCAAUAUUGAUAUUAUAUGCGGAAUUUCUGGCCAAUCUGUCAAGGAAAUGGCAAGCACCUCCAGUUCUCAACAAAGCCUUACUGUUUCCAACAAGAACAAUGCUGAACAAGAGACACUCGCAUCUGGUCAUGUGAUCUUUUAACAACCAGCCUAUAAUUUCCUAUGUAUAUCUUCCUGUCAUUGGGCAAUCUGAAAAACCAGCCUAUAAUUUCCUUUGUAUGUGUGCAGUCAUUGUGCAAUCUGAGGCAUUUCAGAGAUAAACUUCUGAUGGGGCCACUUGUAUGGAUCCCGUCAGUUGAAAAUCCCUGCAUUGCACAGCAAUUUUAUGAAAUCUUCUCUUCUUGGGAGAAAACGACCACCACUUAAGCGAUGUUGUACUGACUUGCAUGAAGACUCUUCUCUGCAGAGUUGUAGAUUGCAGCACUUUUUAUGAAAAGGUUGGGAAAACUUUUGCUUCUGAGAUUGCGGCCACAAUUCUCAUUGAAUUGCAUAUGUCAGAAACUUGUUCGCGUUUUAGAGAAAACAAGGAGACCGAGAGACAUGUAGUGAACCGAAUCACGUGCGGAGAUUGCAUAUGCCCAACACAUUAUCUUUUUGGGAUCAAAUUCGAUGCUCAAAUCAGCUGUAGCUGUGGGAAGUCUUCCGGUGAAUACCUGCAUACCACACUUUUCCAUAAACUCGAUGUCGGUUCACCUAAAACAGCAAAGAUCAAGUCCUUUGCAGAGCUUCCGGUCCUAUUGGAUGAACAGUUUCGCGAGGACAACAAAUGCGACCAUUGUGGAAGUCUGCAUAAUUUUGAUCUCUUUCUUUCAAACACACCACACUUCUUUACAAUAGUUUUGAACUGGCUGGGUGGCAGUGAAAGCCAGGACGCACUAUCUGAAGUUCUGGCUGGCAUCACGUCUCCCCUUGACACUGAGUUCUUUUGCAGGAGUGCUCAUCCUGCAGCUAUGUAUGCUGUCACCUCCAUGGUACGUGCACAACAAACUAUUCUAUUUUCCUAAAUUGAAUUGUCAAUGGAGCUGAACAAAUACUUUUAUCAUUUAAUUCUCAUGUUAAGGUAAUCCUGAAAUGAUAAAAAGCAAUGAGCUAUUUGUAUUGGUUGACGUUCAUGACCUUUUAUAAGUUGUGUUGCUAAUUGUUUACUGUUCCUUGACUGCUACCGGAGGCCAAGUUGGUAUUGUUCUAAGACUGAAGCAAGGUUCUUAUUUUGUGGAACAAAACGGAUCAUGGUUAAAUGGCGUUGUCACCUGGUUCAAAUUGCCUAGGUUACAUUGACAAGGCAUUUUGCUGCUAUUUCUAAAGAAGUGGAUAUAAGGUUUAAACUAUGAUACAUCAUAUCUGAGUUGGUUCGUACUUGGAGUUGGAGAGAUAUUUGCAAGUUUUUGAAUGGUCCUAUCUGUGGCAUAUUUUUUCCUGCCUACUUCACUUAUAUCAAGAUAUUUAGAAGACUCGGCAGAAGAAUUUCAGCAAGAAUCAAUAGCCUGUGUGAUCCUUAUGUCGCUGAGUUCCUUUUAUAAACGUUCCAUUGAUUGAACGGUUGAAGAAGUAUCAUAUGUAGAUCUGCUAUGCUGAUGACCGCUACGUCUGCUUUGCUCGCGACGAGGACAAGUGGGUCAUAUAUGGCUUCGAGACUGUCGAGAGAGAAGAUAGUUGGGAGCAUUUGCUAGAACGUUUCAAGGACUGCAAGCUCCAGCCUGAAGUUCUAUUUUUCGAGGUCAUCAAGUAGACUAUUGUAUAGCAAACCUCUCUGACGAUCAGAGCCAACUCUGGACCCAGUUUUUUUGUUUCAUUGCCACCAUUUUGAUGCUGUUUGGCUUGGUCACUCUGACAUCGAAUACAGAUAAACUCUUCAGAGAUGGUAUAAAUUGUUCUGUGUGUUCUUAACUUGA
Triticum dicoccoides is the source of this 2663-nucleotide long non-coding RNA. RefSeq lists it as uncharacterized. The record is from RefSeq and is a predicted model, not a curated record. The transcript has 9 exons. Lineage: Eukaryota; Viridiplantae; Streptophyta; Magnoliopsida; Poales; Poaceae.